Molecule: non-coding RNA, 1056 nt
Organism: Anolis sagrei ordinatus
Lineage: Eukaryota; Metazoa; Chordata; Lepidosauria; Squamata; Anolidae
Source: RefSeq, a predicted model, not a curated record
CCCUUCAUCUAAGUCAUUAAUAAAGAUGUUGAACAGGACCGGGCCCAGGACGGAACCCUGCGGCACUCCACUCGUCACUUCUUUCCAGGAUGAAGAGGAAGCAUUGGUCAUUAAUAAAUAUGUUGAAAAGGACUGGUCCCAGGAUGGAACCCUAUGGCACUCUGCUCAUCACUUCUUUCCAGGAUGAAGAGGAAGAAUUGGCAUGAAUCACAUACAAAGUAUCUGCGGAGUAUUCCAGGAAGAAGAGUGACACAAAAGAAUACCUUGCUGUUGUUGCUGUUCCUCUCUGAAUUGAGCUGGAUGGUGCAAACACACCUUAAGACAAAUAUCUUGUUUCUCAUGUCUAGAUGUUUUGGAAAGAAUGCAAUAAAGACUGCCAGUACUAUUUAGUAAACUAGAAAGGCUGCUAAUAAAAUUUUUGACAUGAUGAUUAAUUUGACUCCAUCCAGGAAGCAUUAUAAAAGAUGCCAUUUUAAUGCUACUGUGCAAUGUGUGAUCACGGUGAUAUUCAAAGGCUUCUUUGUUUUUCUUUUAUGUUCGUAGAAAUUGAAACAUGUCCCAACUUUGGUACUCCUGUAGACUUUUGCUAAUAAUAACUGUAGACAAUAUUACUGAUACUCGUUUUCCCAUAUGCUAGGAGGGAAGCAUAUUGCCUGGAAACUCAGAUUUCCUUGUCAACUGAGGCACAAGACUCCUGUGGUAGUAGACAAUAAUGUAUGUAAUUGCUUCAGGCUCCUUCUACACUGGGGCUGGAUUAGCACAGCAGGCUAAAACACUGUGCUGCAGAAAAAUCCUGCCCAUCAAAAGAACGGCAGUUUGGGCCUGUGUCGGGGUAAGCACCCGCCAUUAUCCCCAGCUCACCUGCCCAUCUAGCAGGUCGAAAGCAGAAAUGUCAAUAGAUAAAAAUUACCACUUUUAGUGAUGAGAUAAUAAAGGUGCCCUUAAGGACAUUGAUCGGAGGAAAGCUCUUCAACAUCGAAGAUGGAGCGACAGCACCCUGAGUGGCCGGAGUUGAGCACAGCCUCCAAGAUGCCAGAAAUAAAAUGAGAGAAACUG